ACGGAGACAUGUCACGGGGAGCAGGGUUGGGGGCAGCUUAGGUGAGAGGAUGUGAAUGGAAGUCAUUCCAGCUGCAGCUCUAAGCUUGCCACCCCUCACUCAAGCAUUUCAGCAGCAGCUCCUGGUGUGGGUUCCCCUGGUCCAACAGCAACUACAGCCCCUUCUAGGAGAAACUCUAACUCCUCCCACUGCAGCUGUGGCUCAUUCUGCAGCUCUUGGUGAAGGCCACGGGUAGCACUGCCCCUUCAUGGUUCUGUUUGUACUGGGGCUCAGGCCAUUCCUGCACUUGGCUUUGAAGGCCCUGCAGCCCCUCCAGAUGUUGCUCCAGGAGAAGGACCUGCAGCAGCUUUAGUGAUGCUUCCAGGGCAUAGACUUGGUACUUCUCCUCUCACCUUUCCAGCGGGCCCUGCACAGCCUGCCUUAGUGCCUCCGUCACCUGAGCCAGGGGUUGAUGCUGGGAUGGAAGAAUAGUCCAGGUCCCAGCCAGACGUCCAACGGUGGCGUCCACGAGGCGAUACAGCUGCUGCUUAAUCCUGGCCACAUUUCCUUCAGGAGUGCUGGAAAGCGUGUCAAGCUGCUCAGAGUCACUCAGGCUCCUACUCAUAGGCUUUGGCAGCGGCCUGGCUCCAUGGCAUCUUGUGCCCUUGCUCCGCCAACUGUGGACACCCGAAGAAGGGACAUCCUACUCUCCCAGGAAAGACCACGAUGUCAGACGUAAAGGACAUAGGGCACCUGGAAUUAGAACAACCAUCUUGCCUCUAUGAGAACAAAAGCUGAACACUGAGGAUGGAAGAGCAGGAAGUUAGAUGGAGCCUGGUGCUAUAUGACUUUCUCGAGCAUUUGCACUAGCCCUGGACUGCCUUCCUCUAGACGUCUUGUUACAAGAAAAAUAAACUUCCAUUGGA
This is a non-coding RNA of Sus scrofa (pig), 905 nucleotides long. Lineage: Eukaryota; Metazoa; Chordata; Mammalia; Artiodactyla; Suidae. The record is from RefSeq and is a predicted model, not a curated record.